Meleagris gallopavo (turkey) is the source of this 254-nucleotide non-coding RNA. NCBI's taxonomy places the organism in Eukaryota, Metazoa, Chordata, Aves, Galliformes, Phasianidae. The record is from RefSeq and is a predicted model, not a curated record.
CGGGAUCGCUGCACAGCGCGGCCAAAAGCCAGCACAGCUACAUCCCCUUCGUGCGCAGGGAGGACGCGGGGCUGAACGGCGGCCGCGUGCCGGCAGAGCAGGGGGGGCUCCUGGACACUGCGGACGCGCAGCACGAGCACGACACCGAUUCCGACAGCGACCUGUCCCUGGAGGAGGAUCCCCAGCGGCUCCUACGGCUCCACGCACUCCUCGGACAGCGACGACGAACCCGGCGGCACCGCCUGGGAUGCGCU